Molecule: ribosomal RNA, 497 nt
Filed under: uncultured bacterium
Lineage: Bacteria
Description: partial 16S ribosomal RNA
Rfam family: Bacterial small subunit ribosomal RNA
Source: RNAcentral
GAUGAACGCUGGCGGCGUGCCUAAUACAUGCAAGUCGAGCGAACGGACGAGAAGCUUGCUUCUCUGAUGUUAGCGGCGGACGGGUGAGUAACACGUGGAUAACCUACCUAUAAGACUGGGAUAACUUCGGGAAACCGGAGCUAAUACCGGAUAAUAUUUUGAACCGCAUGGUUCAAAAGUGAAACACGGUCUUGCCGUCACUUAUAGAUGGAUCCGCGCUGCAUUAGCUAGUUGGUAAGGUAACGGCUUACCAAGGCAACGAUGCAUAGCCGACCUGAGAGGGUGAUCGGCCACACUGGAACUGAGACACGGUCCAGACUCCUACGGGAGGCAGCAGUAGGGAAUCUUCCGCAAUGGGCGAAAGCCUGACGGAGCAACGCCGCGUGAGUGAUGAAGGUCUUCGGAUCGUAAAACUCUGUUAUUAGGGAAGAACAUAUGUGUAAGUAACUGUGCACAUCUUGACGGUACCUAAUCAGAAAGCCACGGCUAACUACGUG